GUGCUUGCUUUGGCAGCACAUAUAUUAAAAUUGGAAUGAUACAGAGAAGAUUAGCAUGGCCCUUGUGCGAAGGAUGACAUAAAUUUGUUAAGCAUUCCAUAUUUUU
Small nuclear RNA from Octodon degus (degu), 106 nucleotides. The record is from Ensembl. NCBI's taxonomy places the organism in Eukaryota, Metazoa, Chordata, Mammalia, Rodentia, Octodontidae.